GAACGGGUGAGUAACACGUGGGUGAUCUGCCCUGCACUUUGGGAUAAGCCUGGGAAACUGGGUCUAAUACCGAAUAGGACCACGCGCUUCAUGGUGUGUGGUGGAAAGCUUUUGCGGUGUGGGAUGGGCCCGCGGCCUAUCAGCUUGUUGGUGGGGUAAUGGCCUACCAAGGCGACGACGGGUAGCCGGCCUGAGAGGGUGACCGGCCACACUGGGACUGAGAUACGGCCCAGACUCCUACGGGAGGCAGCAGUGGGGAAUAUUGCACAAUGGGCGCAAGCCUGAUGCAGCGACGCCGCGUGAGGGAUGACGGCCUUCGGGUUGUAAACCUCUUUCAAUAGGGACGAAGCGCAAGUGACGGUACCUAUAGAAGAAGCACCGGCCAACUACGUGCCAGCAGCCGCGGUAAUACGUAGGGUGCGAGCGUUGUCCGGAAUUACUGGGCGUAAAGAGCUCGUAGGUGGUUUGUCGCGUUGUUCGUGAAAACUCACAGCUUAACUGUGGGCGUGCGGGCGAUACGGGCAGACUAGAGUACUGCAGGGGAGACUGGAAUUCCUGGUGUAGCGGUGGAAUGCGCAGAUAUCAGGAGGAACACCGGUGGCGAAGGCGGGUCUCUGGGCAGUAACUGACGCUGAGGAGCGAAAGCGUGGGGAGCGAACAGGAUUAGAUACCCUGGUAGUCCACGCCGUAAACGGUGGGUACUAGGUGUGGGUUCCUUCCUUGGGAUCCGUGCCGUAGCUAACGCAUUAAGUACCCCGCCUGGGGAGUACGGCCGCAAGGCUAAAACUCAAAGGAAUUGACGGGGGCCCGCACAAGCGGCGGAGCAUGUGGAUUAAUU
This 838-nucleotide ribosomal RNA is filed under the name uncultured bacterium. Its description in RNAcentral is "bacterial SSU rRNA". It matches the Rfam family "Bacterial small subunit ribosomal RNA", at positions 100 to 951 of the family's 1533-position model. The record is from RNAcentral.